AUCAGCCGGUACUCCGAAUGCNCUAGAUUUAAAGUUUGAUCAUGGCUCAGAGNGAACGCUGGCGGUAGGCCUAACACAUGCAAGUCGAACGGCAGCACAGGAGAGCUUGCUCUCUGGGUGGCGAGUGGCGGACGGGUGAGGAAUACAUCGGAAUCUACUCUGUCGUGGGGGAUAACGUAGGGAAACUUACGCUAAUACCGCAUACGACCUACGGGUGAAAGCAGGGGAUCUUCGGACCUUGCGCGAUUGAAUGAGCCGAUGUCGGAUUAGCUAGUUGGCGGGGUAAAGGCCCACCAAGGCGACGAUCCGUAGCUGGUCUGAGAGGAUGAUCAGCCACACUGGAACUGAGACACGGUCCAGACUCCUACGGGAGGCAGCAGUGGGGAAUAUUGGACAAUGGGCGCAAGCCUGAUCCAGCCAUACCGCGUGGGUGAAGAAGGCCUUCGGGUUGUAAAGCCCUUUUGUUGGGAAAGAAAUCCAGCUGGCUAAUACCUGGUUGGGAUGACGGUACCCAAAGAAUAAGCACCGGCUAACUUCGUGCCAGCAGCCGCGGUAAUACGAAGGGUGCAA
This 570-nucleotide ribosomal RNA is filed under the name uncultured bacterium. Its description in RNAcentral is "bacterial SSU rRNA". It matches the Rfam family "Bacterial small subunit ribosomal RNA", at positions 1 to 537 of the family's 1533-position model. The record is from RNAcentral.